UUUAUGUCAAAAUAGCAAUAUUUUCUAGAGUACUUAAAUGGGAUAAAGAUUGAGAGGUAAUAUAGGUUUUAUACAACUUUGCUUUCUCUAUACACAUUACCAUAUGGACCACGAUAUAUUAACAACCAGAUUUUAACAACAUUUUGACAAUGACCACAUCUCAAAAUCUUAUUGGACCGUUGCAACAUAAUUUUUUUUUUUUUGUGCUGGCUUACGUGCAAAAAGGUGUUCCCAAAAUACCCUUAUCCUUGUGGAAAGUUUUUCAUUCUCUCUCUGGUCCACUUUGCUUUCUUUUUCUUUUAUCUCUCAUGAGCCUAAAACCCUUCUUAGUCCUUUCUCUCUCACGAACAAAAGCAUGUUGUCUCUUCAUACUCUUUGUGUUGUGGUUCAAGCUCCCUCCUUUUCCUUGUUCAAGCUUGAAGAUCUCUUCUUUCUCUCGUUGAAGCUCUCUCCCUUCUAUCGUUGAUGUUCUUUCCCUUCUCUCGUUGAAGUUCUCGUCUUUCUCAGUUCAUUUUCUUGUGGGAACAACAUCAAUUUUGAGUACAUGAACAACAUCUUAUUCCAUUUCAAUUUUGAGAAAAAAGGCCAUAUUGGUAAUAGAAGCCAGAUAGGUUAUGUCCAAAAAAUGAAAAAAUGAAAAAAUUGGGUAAUAGGACCAUCAUUACACUUAAACACCACUCAUUCACAUUGAACUUACUCACCCAUCCCAAAAAAUGGAAAAUUGAUCCAAAAAAUAAAAAAAACCUUCAUGGCAGUGUUGUUGUUCCAGUUUGGGAGUCACGUUGAACUUUCUAUACAAAUGGUACUCAGGCCCCUGGUAAUCGAUUACAUGACUCCUGUAAUCAAUUAUCGGGCCUUCAAAAAGGGAACAAUGGUCAUGCACCUCACCUCAAUUGGAGCAAACCACCUAAAUGGACAUUUUUUUGAAAAAAUAAUGGCCUAACCCAUAAUUGGUGCAAGGAACACACCCAAUAGCAUUGAACUCACUCACUCAUUUCAAAAAAUGGAAAGAUUAAAUAAAAAUAGAGCAAAAACCAUCAUAGGGAGUGUUGUUGUUCCAACUGGAGAGUGACGUUUAACUUUUUGUACAAACGGCCCUCAAGCCCCUAGUAAUCAAUUACAUGACCCCUAUGAUUAUCAGGCCUUCAAUAAGGGAACAAUGGUCAUGCACCUCACCUCAGUUGGAGCAAACCAGAUAAAUAGACAUUUUUUAAAAAAAAAUUAAUGGCCUAACCUCUUCAUUGGUGCAGGGACACACCCAAUAACAUUGAACUCACUCACUCUUCUCAAAAAAUGAAAAAAUUCAACCAAAAAUAGAGCAAAAACCAUGAUGGGAAGUGAUGUUGUUCCAAUUGGGGAGUCACGUUAAACUUUCUGUACAUAUGGCCCUCAAGCCCCUGGCAAUCGAUUACAUUAGCUUUGUAAUCGAUUACUAAGCUUUCAAAAAGGGAACAAAGGGCAUCCACCUCAUCUCAAUUGGAACAAACCAUCUAAAUGGGCAUUUUUUAAAGAAAUCAAUGGCCUAACCUCAUCAAUUGUGUAGGGAACACACCUAAUAGCAUUGAACUCACUCACUGUUCUCAAAAAAUGGAAAACUUCAACAAAUAUAGAGCAAAACCCAUCAAAGGGAGUGAUGUUGCUUCAGUUGGGGAGUCACAUUAAACUUUAUGUACAAAUGACCCUCAUGCCCCUGGUAAUCGAUUACAUGAUCCUUGUAAUCGAUUAUCGGGCAUGAGAAAGGCAUCAAAGGUCAUGGACCUGACCUUAGUUGGAGUAAACCACCUAAAUAGAAAUUUUUGUCAACAAAUCAAUGGACUAACCUCAUUAUUGGUGCUUGGAACACACCCAUUAACAUUCAAUUCACUCACCCUUGUUAUAAAAUGGAAAAAAUGACCAACAACAAAGGCAAAACCUUCAUGGGAAGUCUUGUUCAUCCAGUUGGGGAGUGACGUUGAACUUUCUAUAUAAAUGGCCCUCAGGCUACUUGUAAUGGAUUACAAGACCUCUGUAAUCGAUUACCAAGGCAUCUGAAAGGCAUCAAUGAUCAUUUCCUUGACCUCAGUUCGUGCAAAGCACCUAAAUGGCCAUUUUACUCAAUAAUUUAAGCCCCAAACGUGUUCAUUGAUGAAGUAAACAAUAAUCAUGACUUAGGAACUCAAUCAUCCAUCAGAAAAAGUGCAAAAAGUAACCUAAAAACACAGAUAAAGUAAAUCAAAUUUUAAAUUUUAGUCAUCAAAAUUGGAAUUUUAUUGAAAUAAUAUCUGACAAGUACAUAUUACCCAACAUGACCUUUUGUAUACUAAAAAGUUAUACAAGGCAAGUUAUACAAGACUAAAAAAAUCAAAAUCUUUAGACAACAUAUAAUUCAAAUCCUAUAAUACUAAUUCUUGCAACAGUUGGAAUCUUUGAACGUUAUCGUUGUCUAGAAUCCACUCACAUACAUAUUUUUGCCUAAAUCCGAACAACUUCUUCUGAAAUCAACACAUCGAACUUUAGAAAUUAACACAACACCACAAUUUAGUGAUUAAUCCACACUCAUUUCACGAAAUCCAUUUUCUUUACACAACUUAGACAUUAACAAAAACAUUAUUAGUAACAACAUGCACAAACCUUUAUUUCAUGGUGCUACCAACCUCCACAAUGUGAAAACCCCAAACCUUGGAGAAAGGACACACCUUUAAUCUUAGAUGGACAACAGGACAAAUAAGGAGAGACAAAAUGCAACGUCGGGGAAGGAAAAAUGCCGCCAACAAAAACAGAUAUAAAGGAGGGAGAGAGGGAUAUAUGCCAGCUACGAUCGUGCUUAUCAAACCAACUUCACCGUCGAUGGACAGAGGAAGAGCGAGAUAGAGAGAGACUCAGGAUUUCAGUGGAGAGACAUUGAGAAAUGGUGGAGAGAGGGUGAAGCAAUGAUGCUUUUCAAGAGACCAAGGAGAAACGUGUAAGGUUCCCUGAAAUGAAAAUUCAAAGAGCUUUUUUUCUUGCAAAACAUCUCUCAACAACAAAUUUCACCUUUUUUCAAAAAAAGUAUUAAACGAACCAAUCAACAAAAGUUACAAAUAAUUUGG
RNAcentral lists this long non-coding RNA (3068 nucleotides) under Vigna radiata. Its description in RNAcentral is "long non-coding RNA (VRAD_LNC001330)". The record is from RNAcentral. Lineage: Eukaryota; Viridiplantae; Streptophyta; Magnoliopsida; Fabales; Fabaceae.